GUGUAGGAUAGGUGGGAGACUUUGAAACCGCGUCGCUAGAUGUGGUGGAGUCGUCCUUGAAAUACCACCCUUGUAGUUUUGAUGUUCUAACGUUGGUCCCUGAAUCGGGAUUACGGACAGUGCCUGGUGGGUAGUUUGACUGGGGCGGUCUCCUCCCAAAGAGUAACGGAGGAGCACGAAGGUGGGCUAAACACGGUUGGACAUCGUGUGGUUAGUGCAAUGGCAUAAGCCCGCUUGACUGCGAGAAUGACAAUUCGAGCAGGUGCGAAAGCAGGUCAUAGUGAUCCGGUGGUUCUGAAUGGAAGGGCCAUCGCUCAACGGAUAAAAGGUACUCCGGGGAUAACAGGCUGAUACCGCCCAAGAGUUCAUAUCGACGGCGGUGUUUGGCACCUCGAUGUCGGCUCAUCACAUCCUGGGGCUGAAGUCGGUCCCAAGGGUAUGGCUGUUCGCCAUUUAAAGUGGUACGCGAGCUGGGUUUAGAACGUCGUGAGACAGUUCGGUCCCUAUCUGCCGUGGGCGUUGGAAAAUUGAAAGGGGCUGCUCCUAGUACGAGAGGACCGGAGUGGACGAACCUCUGGUGUUCGGGUUGUCAUGCCAAUGGCAUUGCCCGGUAGCUAAGUUCGGAAUCGAUAACCGCUGAAAGCAUCUAAGCGGGAAGCGAGCCUUGAGAUGAGUUUUCCCUGGCACUAUAAGUGUCCUAAAGGGUUGUCGUAGACUACGAACGUUGAUAGGCAGGGUGUGUAAGUGCUGCGAGGCAUUGAGCUAACCUGUACUAAUUGCCCGUGAGGCUUAACCAUACAACACCCAAGGGGUUU
Molecule: ribosomal RNA, 815 nt
Filed under: Vibrio splendidus 12E03
Lineage: Bacteria; Pseudomonadati; Pseudomonadota; Gammaproteobacteria; Vibrionales; Vibrionaceae
Description: bacterial LSU rRNA
Rfam family: Bacterial large subunit ribosomal RNA
Source: RNAcentral